AUUGAACGCUGGCGGCAGGCUUAACACAUGCAAGUCGAACGAGUGGCGGACGGGUGAGUAAUGUUUGGGAAUCUACCUUAUGGAGGGGGAUAACUACGGGAAACUGUAGCUAAUACCGCGUACCAUAGGAUGAGCCCAUGUGGGAUUAGGUAGUUGGUGAGGUAAAGGCUCACCAAGCGACGAUCUCUAGCUGGUCUGAGAGGAUGACCAGCCACACUGGGACUGAGACACGGCCCAGACUCCUACGGGAGGCAGCAGUGGGGAAUAUUGCGCAAUGGGGGCAAGCCUGACACAGCCAUGCCGCGUGAAUGAAGAAGGCCUUCGGGUUGUAAAGUACUUUCGGUAGCGAGGCGUUAACUACAGAAGAAGCACCGGCUAACUCCGUGCCAGCCGCCGCGGUAAUUC
Molecule: ribosomal RNA, 405 nt
Filed under: uncultured bacterium
Lineage: Bacteria
Description: partial 16S ribosomal RNA
Rfam family: Bacterial small subunit ribosomal RNA
Source: RNAcentral